Molecule: ribosomal RNA, 257 nt
Filed under: uncultured bacterium
Lineage: Bacteria
Description: partial 16S ribosomal RNA
Rfam family: Bacterial small subunit ribosomal RNA
Source: RNAcentral
GAAGCGAACCUGCGAAGGCAAGCGGAUCUCUUAAAGCCGUUCUCAGUUCGGACUGUAGGCUGCAACUCGCCUACACGAAGCUGGAAUCGCUAGUAAUCGCGGAUCAGCACGCCGCGGUGAAUGCGUUCCCGGGCCUUGUACACACCGCCCGUCACACCAUGAGAGUCUGUAACACCCAAAGCCGGUGGGAUAACCUUUAUAGGAGUCAGCCGUCUAAGGUAGGACAGAUGAUUAGGGUGAAGUCGUAACAAGGUAAC